GGCUCAGAACGAACGCUGGUGGAGUGUCUAUACAUGCAAGUCGAGCGAGGACGUAGCAAUACGAGCCGAGCGGCGAAUGGGUGAGUAACGCGUAGGCAAUCUGCCCCGCAUUCCGGAACAACCGUGCCAACGCGCGGCUAAUGCCGGGAGCCGUGGCGGUCCACAUGGGCCGUUGACGAAAGAUUUAUCGAUGCGGGAUGAGCUUGCGUCCGAUUAGCUAGUGGCGGGCAACGGCCCACCAAGGCGACGAUCGGUAGCCGGCCUGAGAGGGCGAUCGGCCACAUUGGGACUGAGAGACGGCCCAGACUCCUACGGGAGGCAGCAGUAGGGAAUAUUGCGCAAUGGGGGCAACCCUGACGCAGCAACUCCAACCGUGUGGGAUGAAGCAUUUCGGUGUGUAAACCACUGUCGAGAGGGAAUAACGCAAUCUUUCGGGAUUGUUGAAUGUACCUUUAAAGGAAGCACCGGCAAACUUCGUGCCAGCCGCCGC
This 490-nucleotide ribosomal RNA is filed under the name uncultured bacterium. Its description in RNAcentral is "bacterial SSU rRNA". It matches the Rfam family "Bacterial small subunit ribosomal RNA", at positions 21 to 518 of the family's 1533-position model. The record is from RNAcentral.